CAGGCCAGCGUGUGUUUAUCCGGAGGGUCUCCCCCUCCUGCGCAGGUCAGGCCCCCACGACCUCGAUCCAGGCCAGGGCCAGGCCCCGCGGGCUCCCAGCCGGCUUUGGCUGAGGCUGAGCUCGGGGCGGGCAGGGGCCGGGGGCCUGCCGGGUGCCGGGUCCGCAGCUGUGCGCGCAGCUCCCCGCGCCGCGGUUCUCGCCUCUUUGCCAGGUGCCCGGGGGCCUGCGACGACUGUCCCUGUGCUGGGAAGGCGAAGGCCGCCCUGGGGCGGGGAGAGGCUUCGCGCCUCGGGGAGCAGGAGCCACGGCCGUCCGCGCUCCUCGGGGCUGGGGCGGGGCGCAGUGCCGCGGCCCCGGCGUCCCCGCUGCGGGCGGAGGCCUCUCGGGUCCCUCUAGGCUCCGCGGAGGCCGGGCCUCUCGGUGGUCGCCGGGGCCGGGGCGGGCCGGGGCGGGGCCGCAGAAGGAGCCAGGCGCGGGGAGCCCAUUGGUGCCGGACGUUGCGUGGCCGCGACGCUUCAGGCCCGGGCUUCCGGGCGCUCGGGCUCCUCGCAGCGGGCCCCGCAGACCUCGGCCCGGCGCGCAGAUUCUUUGACUCUGCACAUAUAGACAAGUCUCUGUUCCUGGCUCAUCAUGGCUUCAACUUCAAGGAGCGAUGGUUCAAUUCAAUCAGUGCGACUGGAUCUGGAACCCCCUGCAGUGUCCUGCUCUUGUGUAUUGUGACGGGUUCGGUUCCUGGGUCCGAUGGUUGA
Molecule: long non-coding RNA, 750 nt
Filed under: Vulpes vulpes (red fox)
Lineage: Eukaryota; Metazoa; Chordata; Mammalia; Carnivora; Canidae
Description: lncRNA (ENSVVUG00000005764.1)
Source: RNAcentral